UUGAUCUAGCCCAAGUAUCUCUUUUCUUAAUACACCAAAGUGUCUACAAAGAUUUUAUUACUUUGUUUUAGUUUCUCCAUUUAGACACAAGAGGAUUUUCACCUCAUAUUUCUAAUAUGAAUAUUUUACAAAUAAUUUCAUAUUAGACUUUCAUUUCUCAUUCAAAAGAACUUCGUUUUUGACAUAUGAUUACAAUAUGUUAUAGUGCUCAUAACAAUGAAUCCAACGAUUCCACAAUCCGGUCAUUCCGACAAUCAAAUUGCUCGAAAAAUCAUCGGAAUAUUGGCCAUAGCCAUUUGUCCAAUAAACAGUUUCAACAAUCCCCCACAUGAAUAUAAAUGACUCUAAACACUAGACUACUCGGUAGACUUGACAGACUUGACUACCUAGACAAGACUCGAUAAGACUCAAAAAAGACUCGAUAAAAACAACUUUUGAGAGUAUAAACAAAAAA
RNAcentral lists this long non-coding RNA (454 nucleotides) under Brassica napus (rape). Its description in RNAcentral is "long non-coding RNA (BNAP_LNC026507)". Lineage: Eukaryota; Viridiplantae; Streptophyta; Magnoliopsida; Brassicales; Brassicaceae. The record is from RNAcentral.